AACGAACGCUGGCGGCAUGCCUAACACAUGCAAGUCGAACGAGACCUUCGGGUCUAGUGGCGCCCGGGUGCGUAACGCGUGGGAACCUGCCCUUAGGUUCGGAAUAACUCCCCGAAAGAGGUGCUAAUACCGGAUCAUGUCUUCGGACCAAAGAUUUAUCGCGUUUGGAUGGGCCCGCGUUGGAAUGGCUAGUUGGUAGGGUAAUAGCCUACCAAGCCGCCGAUCCAUAGCUGGUCUGGGAAGAGGGACAGCCACACUGCGACUACGACACGGCCCAGACUCCUACGUGAGGCAGCAGGGGAGAACAUUGGACAGCGAGGUAGAGCGCAGUCCAACAACGCCACGGGUGUUAAGAUGGCUUUGGAGGGGGAUAGCGCUAUUACCGGGGGAGUGAUUGACGGUACCGGAAGAAUAAGGUCCGGCUAACUCCGUG
RNAcentral lists this ribosomal RNA (433 nucleotides) under uncultured bacterium. Its description in RNAcentral is "partial 16S ribosomal RNA". It matches the Rfam family "Bacterial small subunit ribosomal RNA", at positions 29 to 507 of the family's 1533-position model. The record is from RNAcentral.